UACGUAGGUGGCAAGCGUUGUCCGGAAUUAUUGGGCGUAAAGCGCGCGCAGGCGGCCUUUUAAGUCUGAUGUGAAAGCCCGCGGCUCAACUGUGGAAGGUCAUUGGAAACUGAAAGGCUUGAGUACAGAAGAGGAAAGCGGAAUUCCACGUGUAGCGGUGAAAUGCGUAGAGAUGUGGAGGAACACCAGUGGCGAAGGCGGCUUUCUGGUCUGUAACUGACGCUGAGGCGCGAAAGCGUGGGGAGCAAACAGGAUUAGA
This 259-nucleotide ribosomal RNA is filed under the name uncultured bacterium. RNAcentral's name for it is "partial 16S ribosomal RNA". It matches the Rfam family "Bacterial small subunit ribosomal RNA", at positions 524 to 782 of the family's 1533-position model. The record is from RNAcentral.